CGGGGCUAAACCAUGCACCGAAGCUGCGGCAGCGACGCUUAUGCGUUGUUGGGUAGGGGAGCGUUCUGUAAGCCUGCGAAGGUGUGCUGUGAGGUAUGCUGGAGGUAUCAGAAGUGCGAAUGCUGACAUAAGUAACGAUAAAGCGGGUGAAAAGCCCGCUCGCCGGAAGACCAAGGGUUCCUGUCCAACGUUAAUCGGGGCAGGGUGAGUCGACCCCUAAGGCGAGGCCGAAAGGCGUAGUCGAUGGGAAACAGGUUAAUAUUCCUGUACUUGGUGUUACUGCGAAGGGGGGACGGAGAAGGCUAUGUUGGCCGGGCGACGGUUGUCCCGGUUUAAGCGUGUAGGCUGAUUUUCCAGGCAAAUCCGGAAAAUCAAGGCUGAGGCGUGAUGACGAGGCACUACGGUGCUGAAGCAACAAAUGCCCUGCUUCCAGGAAAAGCCUCUAAGCAUCAGGUAACAUCAAAUCGUACCCCAAACCGACACAGGUGGUCAGGUAGAGAAUACCAAGGCGCUUGAGAGAACUCGGGUGAAGGAACUAGGCAAAAUGGUGCCGUAACUUCGGGAGAAGGCACGCUGAUAUGUAGGUGAAGCGACUUGCUCGUGGAGCUGAAAUCAGUCGAAGAUACCAGCUGGCUGCAACUGUUUAUUAAAAACACAGCACUGUGCAAACACGAAAGUGGACGUAUACGGUGUGACGCCUGCCCGGUGCCGGAAGGUUAAUUGAUGGGGUUAGCGGUAACGCGAAGCUCUUGAUCGAAGCCCCGGUAAACGGCGGCCGUAACUAUAACGGUCCUAAGGUAGCGAAAUUCCUUGUCGGGUAAGUUCCGACCUGCACGAAUGGCGUAAUGAUGGCCAGGCUGUCUCCACCCGAGACUCAGUGAAAUUGAACUCGCUGUGAAGAUGCAGUGUACCCGCGGCAAGACGGAAAGACCCCGUGAACCUUUACUAUAGCUUGACACUGAACAUUGAGCCUUGAUGUGUAGGAUAGGUGGGAGGCUUUGAAGUGUGGACGCCAGUCUGCAUGGAGCCGGCCUUGAAAUACCACCCUUUAAUGUUUGAUGUUCUAACGUUGGCCCCUGAUCGGGGUUGCGGACAGUGUCUGGUGGGUAGUUUGACUGGGGCGGUCUCCUCCUAAAGAGUAACGGAGGAGCACGAAGGUUGGCUAAUCCUGGUCGGACAUCAGGAGGUUAGUGCAAUGGCAUAAGCCAGCUUGACUGCGAGCGUGACGGCGCGAGCAGGUGCGAAAGCAGGUCAUAGUGAUCCGGUGGUUCUGAAUGGAAGGGCCAUCGCUCAACGGAUAAAAGGUACUCCGGGGAUAACAGGCUGAUACCGCCCAAGAGUUCAUAUCGACGGCGGUGUUUGGCACCUCGAUGUCGGCUCAUCACAUCCUGGGGCUGAAGUAGGUCCCAAGGGUAUGGCUGUUCGCCAUUUAAAGUGGUACGCGAGCUGGGUUUAGAACGUCGUGAGACAGUUCGGUCCCUAUCUGCCGUGGGCGCUGGAGAACUGAGGGGGGCUGCUCCUAGUACGAGAGGACCGGAGUGGACGCAUCACUGGUGUUCGGGUUGUCAUGCCAAUGGCACUGCCCGGUAGCUAAAUGCGGAAGAGAUAAGUGCUGAAAGCAUCUAAGCACGAAACUUGCCCCGAGAUGAGUUCUCCCUGAGACUUAGAGUCUCCUGAAGGAACGUUGAAGACGACGACGUUGAUAGGCCGGGUGUGUAAGCGCAGCGAUGCGUUGAGCUAACCGGUACUAAUGAACCGUGAGG
RNAcentral lists this ribosomal RNA (1763 nucleotides) under Escherichia coli. RNAcentral describes it as "partial 23S ribosomal RNA". It matches the Rfam family "Bacterial large subunit ribosomal RNA", at positions 1176 to 2915 of the family's 2925-position model. Lineage: Bacteria; Pseudomonadati; Pseudomonadota; Gammaproteobacteria; Enterobacterales; Enterobacteriaceae. The record is from RNAcentral.